GCGUCCGUAGCUCAAUUGGAAGAGCACCUGCCUUUUCAGCAGGGGUUGCCAGUUCAAGUCUGGUCGGGCGCU
RNAcentral lists this transfer RNA (72 nucleotides) under bacterium. RNAcentral describes it as "tRNA-Lys". It matches the Rfam family "tRNA". From Rfam's summary of the family: Transfer RNA (tRNA) molecules are approximately 80 nucleotides in length. Their secondary structure includes four short double-helical elements and three loops (D, anti-codon, and T loops). The record is from RNAcentral. RNAcentral also lists the same sequence under 1 other name.